UCCAGAGCCAACCCCCAGUUUAAACGUAAGAUGCUAGCCGCUAACGUUGGUCGUAACGACGGUUAUACUUGCGGUAUGGCAUAAUAAAUUUCUACACGUCACUUUUUCUUAGCGAUCCCUUAUAGCAAAAGACCCUACUAAUGAUGUUAAGUAAGGCCUUCUAUUGAACGAGUCAGUAUUACUGACUAUUCUGAAUCUUGUUCUGUUUCUUCAACUUUCUUCGUUUCUUCUAAAUCUUGUCCGCCGCAGCCACCACAACAACUCAUAAUAAUAUCCUCUUUAGUCGAUUAACUUAGUGUUAAGUAAAAUUACCUAGUCACUAUAACCAAGUGUU
RNAcentral lists this unclassified non-coding RNA (334 nucleotides) under Moritella viscosa. Its description in RNAcentral is "putative sRNA". The record is from RNAcentral. Lineage: Bacteria; Pseudomonadati; Pseudomonadota; Gammaproteobacteria; Alteromonadales; Moritellaceae.